This is a long non-coding RNA of Saccostrea cuccullata (small rock oyster), 398 nucleotides long. RefSeq lists it as uncharacterized. The record is from RefSeq and is a predicted model, not a curated record. The transcript is spliced from 3 exons. Lineage: Eukaryota; Metazoa; Mollusca; Bivalvia; Ostreida; Ostreidae.
UGCUUUGUAAACAAAAACACGCAAAAUCGGCAGCACAACAGUGACUUCAAAAGAAAUUGACGGGACUGUGGAGGCUUACUAGGAAAUUUUUAGAAGAAGUACAUGAAUAAACCAUAAGGGCCAGAGCAUAAUGGUUCCUGGAAGGAUUUGUUUACGAAACCUUUUUCAUUGCUUCUGGAGGUUUAUUGGUUAAUUUCUCAUUCCGGAGAAAUUUAACUCCAUCACUACCAUGUUGGGGGUUCCCUAAUGCCAGAUGACAUCUCCAGGAAAGCAAAGAGAGGUAUACACCACAAAUGGCAGAGCAUAAAGGAUGGCUGGGAGAUUUGAUAAACUUACUGUUGUAGGAGAACAAUUUCAAGCAUUGAUAUAUAUUAGAAAAUUGUGCUGUCAGUCUUUUG